CCGAAUAGGGGAGCCGGAGGGAAACCGAGUCUUAAUUGGGCGUUAAGUUGCAGGGUAUAGACCCGAAACCCGGUGAUCUAGCCAUGGGCAGGUUGAAGGUUGGGUAACACUAACUGGAGGACCGAACCGACUAAUGUUGAAAAAUUAGCGGAUGACCUGUGGCUGGGGGUGAAAGGCCAAUCAAACCGGGAGAUAGCUGGUUCUCCCCGAAAGCUAUUUAGGUAGCGCCUCGUGAAUUCAUCUCCGGGGGUAGAGCACUGUUUCGGCUAGGGGGCCAUCCCGGCUUACCAACCCGAUGCAAACUGCGAAUACCGGAGAAUGUUAUCACGGGAGACACACGGCGGGUGCUAACGUCCGUCGUGAAGAGGGAAACAACCCAGACCGCCAGCUAAGGUCCCAAAGUCAUGGUUAAGUGGGAAACGAUGUGGGAAGGCCCAGACAGCCAGGAUGUUGGCUUAGAAGCAGCCAUCAUUUAAAGAAAGCGUAAUAGCUCACUGGUCGAGUCGGCCUGCGCGGAAGAUGUAACGGGGCUAAACCAUGCACCGAAGCUGCGGCAGCGAACGUAUCACUUAAAGCGAUUCAGCGGGUUACGAUUGACGGAGCGAAGCGACGUCAAAGCGUAUACAAAGUCGAGUCGGUUUAAGGAUACGUUCGUUGGGUAGGGGAGCGUUCUGUAAGCCUGUGAAGGUGGCCUGUGAGGGUUGCUGGAGGUAUCAGAAGUGCGAAUGCUGACAUAAGUAACGAUAAAGCGGGUGAAAAGCCCGCUCGCCGGAAGACCAAGGGUUCCUGUCCAACGUUAAUCGGGGCAGGGUGAGUCGACCCCUAAGGCGAGGCCGAAAGGCGUAGUCGAUGGGAAACGGGUUAAUAUUCCCGUACUUGGUGUUACUGCGAAGGGGGGACGGAGAAGGCUAUGUUGGCCGGGCGACGGUUGUCCCGGUUUAAGCGUGUAGGCUGGUUUUCCAGGCAAAUCCGGAAAAUCAAGGCUGAGGCGUGAUGACGAGGCACUACGGUGCUGAAGCAACAAAUGCCCUGCUUCCAGGAAAAGCCUCUAAGCAUCAGGUAACAUCAAAUCGUACCCCAAACCGACACAGGUGGUCAGGUAGAGAAUACCAAGGCGCUUGAGAGAACUCGGGUGAAGGAACUAGGCAAAAUGGUGCCGUAACUUCGGGAGAAGGCACGCUGACACGUAGGUGAAGUGAUUUACUCACGGAGCUGAAGUCAGUCGAAGAUACCAGCUGGCUGCAACUGUUUAUUAAAAACACAGCACUGUGCAAACACGAAAGUGGACGUAUACGGUGUGACGCCUGCCCGGUGCCGGAAGGUUAAUUGAUGGGGUCAGCGCAAGCGAAGCUCCUGAUCGAAGCCCCGGUAAACGGCGGCCGUAACUAUAACGGUCCUAAGGUAGCGAAAUUCCUUGUCGGGUAAGUUCCGACCUGCACGAAUGGCGUAAUGAUGGCCAGGCUGUCUCCACCCGAGACUCAGUGAAAUUGAACUCGCUGUGAAGAUGCAGUGUACCCGCGGCAAGACGGAAAGACCCCGUGAACCUUUACUAUAGCUUGACACUGAACAUUGAGCCUUGAUGUGUAGGAUAGGUGGGAGGCUUUGAAGUGUGGACGCCAGUCUGCAUGGAGCCGACCUUGAAAUACCACCCUUUAAUGUUUGAUGUUCUAACGUGGACCCGUUACCCGGGUUGCGGACAGUGUCUGGUGGGUAGUUUGACUGGGGCGGUCUCCUCCUAAAGAGUAACGGAGGAGCACGAAGGUUGGCUAAUCCUGGUCGGACAUCAGGAGGUUAGUGCAAUGGCAUAAGCCAGCUUGACUGCGAGCGUGACGGCGCGAGCAGGUGCGAAAGCAGGUCAUAGUGAUCCGGUGGUUCUGAAUGGAAGGGCCAUCGCUCAACGGAUAAAAGGUACUCCGGGGAUAACAGGCUGAUACCGCCCAAGAGUUCAUAUCGACGGCGGUGUUUGGCACCUCGAUGUCGGCUCAUCACAUCCUGGGGCUGAAGUAGGUCCCAAGGGUAUGGCUGUUCGCCAUUUAAAGUGGUACGCGAGCUGGGUUUAGAACGUCGUGAGACAGUUCGGUCCCUAUCUGCCGUGGGCGCUGGAGAACUGAGGGGGGCUGCUCCUAGUACGAGAGGACCGGAGUGGACGCAUCACUGGUGUUCGGGUUGUCAUGCCAAUGGCACUGCCCGGUAGCUAAAUGCGGAAGAGAUAAGUGCUGAAAGCAUCUAAGCACGAAACUUGCCCCGAG
Molecule: ribosomal RNA, 2249 nt
Filed under: Salmonella enterica subsp. enterica serovar Enteritidis
Lineage: Bacteria; Pseudomonadati; Pseudomonadota; Gammaproteobacteria; Enterobacterales; Enterobacteriaceae
Description: partial 23S ribosomal RNA
Rfam family: Bacterial large subunit ribosomal RNA
Source: RNAcentral